CCUACGGGGGGCAGCAGUGAGGAAUAUUGGUAAAUGGGCGAGAGCCUGAACCAGCCAAGUCGCGUGAGGGAGUACUGCCCUAUGGGUUGUAAACCUCUUUUGUCGGGGAGCAAAAGCCGGACGUGUCCGGCGGUGAGAGUACCCGAAGAAAAAGCAGCGGCAAACUCCGUGCCAGCAGCCGCGGUAAGACGGAGGAUGCGAGCGUUAUCCGGAUUGAUGGGGUUUAAAGGGUGCGUAGAUGGGUUGUUAAGUCAGUUGGGAAAGUUUGCGGCUCAACCGUAAAAUUGCAAUUGAUACUGGCAGCCUUGAGUACAGUUGAGGUAGGCGGAAUUCGUGGUGUAGCGGUGAAAUGCUUAGAUAUCACGAAGAACUCCGAUUGCGAAGGCAGCUUACUAAACUGCCCCUGACAUUGAUGCUCGAAAGUGUGGGUAUCAAACAGGAUUAGAUACCCGAGUAGUC
RNAcentral lists this ribosomal RNA (459 nucleotides) under uncultured bacterium. RNAcentral describes it as "partial 16S ribosomal RNA". It matches the Rfam family "Bacterial small subunit ribosomal RNA", at positions 338 to 795 of the family's 1533-position model. The record is from RNAcentral.